UACGUAGGGUGCGAGCGUUAAUCGGAAUUACUGGGCGUAAAGCGUGCGCAGGCGGUUCGUUAAGUUCGUUGUGAAAGCCCCGGGCUCAACCUGGGAACUGCAAUGGAAACUGGCGGGCUUGAAUGCGGCAGAGGGGGGUGGAAUUCCGCGUGUAGCAGUGAAAUGCGUAGAGAUGCGGAGGAACACCGAUGGCGAAGGCAGCCCCCUGGGUCAAGACUGACGCUCAUGCACGAAAGCGUGGGGAGCAAACAGG
Molecule: ribosomal RNA, 253 nt
Filed under: uncultured bacterium
Lineage: Bacteria
Description: partial 16S ribosomal RNA
Rfam family: Bacterial small subunit ribosomal RNA
Source: RNAcentral